GAUCCCCGAAGAUAAGCAACGUCGAGCCUGGUCAGUACUUAGAUGGGUGACUGCUCGAGAAUACCAGGUGCUGUCAG
Non-coding RNA from Acanthosepion pharaonis, 77 nucleotides. Lineage: Eukaryota; Metazoa; Mollusca; Cephalopoda; Sepiida; Sepiidae. The record is from the annotation of a GenBank genome assembly.